UUGAGCGGAGAUAUAUGGAGCUUGCUUUAUAUAACUUAGCAGCGAACGGGUGAGUACACGUAGAUAAUCUAUCCUAUACUGGGGGAUAGCCCGAUGAAAGUUGGAUUAAUACCGCAUAUAGCUAUAUAGUUGCAUGAUUAUGUAGUGAAAGAUUUAUUGGUAUAGGAGGAGUCUGCGGCACAUUAGCUAGUAGGUGAGGUAAAGGCUUACCUAGGCGACGAUGUGUAGCCGGUCUGAGAGGAUGAACGGCCACAAUGGAACUGAGACACGGUCCAUACUCCUACGGGAGGCAGCAGUGGGGAAUAUUGCACAAUGGGGGAAACCCUGAUGCAGCAACGCCGCGUGAGUGAAGAAGGUUUUCGGAUUGUAAAGCUCUGUUAGCAGGGAAGAGGAAGGACGGUACCUGCAGAGGAAGCCACGGCUAACUACGUGCCAGCAGCCGCGGUAAUACGUAGGUGGCAAGCGUUGUUCGGAAUAACUGGGCGUAAAGGAUGCGUAGGCGGUUAAACAAGUUAUAUGUUAAAUAUAUAGGCUUAACCUGUAGAAAGCAUAUAAAACUGUUUAACUAGAGUGCAGGAGAGGUAAGUGGAAUUCCUAGUGUAGCGGUGAAAUGCGUAGAGAUUAGGAAGAACACCAGUGGCGAAGGCGACUUACUGGACUGUAACUGACGCUGAGGCAUGAGAGCAUGGGGAGCAAACAGGAUUAGAUACCCUGAUAGUCCAUGCUGUAAACGAUGGGUACUAGGUGUGGGUUGUGAAUAACAAUUCGUGCCGUCGCAAACGCAAUAAGUACCCCGCCUGAGGAG
Molecule: ribosomal RNA, 805 nt
Filed under: uncultured bacterium
Lineage: Bacteria
Description: bacterial SSU rRNA
Rfam family: Bacterial small subunit ribosomal RNA
Source: RNAcentral